GCUGAUUUCACAUAUUCAUUGAACAUAAAUUGGAGAGAUUGAAAAAGGCAGCCUGGUGGAGGGUUAGAUAUAUACAUAAACACACGACAGGUGCUGAAUUUGAGGAAAAAGGCGGUUGAUUUUACUAUCUAUAUACGCAUACAGAAAUUAUGAAGCAGUGGGGAUAGGUCAAGUAUACCGGGUGCUGUUUAUUACGUAUAUAUACACACAAAAAGCCGGUGAAGGUUAGAGAAGCGACUGCACAGACUGGAAGGCGGUGUCCCCUUGGAAAUUAUUCAAGUUCUAUCAAUUUUUGGUCAUGUCGUUCUACUUUUAUGCGUUUAAUUCCAACAUUAUAUUAGCCUAACUCUUUUCAUGUAUUGGAUGAUGACAAAAUUGUUUAAUUUUUAGUUUUAAUUCGAGACCUAUGUUUUUACGUUAAUUCUUGCGUUGUGAUUU
Molecule: long non-coding RNA, 438 nt
Filed under: Olea europaea subsp. europaea
Lineage: Eukaryota; Viridiplantae; Streptophyta; Magnoliopsida; Lamiales; Oleaceae
Source: RNAcentral